GACGAGGGAUCCUAGCGUUGUUCGGAAUUAUUGGGUGUAAAGAGCUCGUAGGCGGUUUGUCGCGUCUGCCGUGAAAGUCCGGGGCUCAACUCCGGAUCUGCGGUGGGUACGGGCAGACUAGAGUGAUGUAGGGGAGACUGGAAUUCCUGGUGUAGCGGUGAAAUGCGCAGAUAUCAGGAGGAACACCAAUGGCGAAGGCAGGUCUCUGGGCAUUAACUGACGCUGAGGAGCGAAAGCAUGGGGAGCGAACAGG
This 253-nucleotide ribosomal RNA is filed under the name uncultured bacterium. Its description in RNAcentral is "partial 16S ribosomal RNA". It matches the Rfam family "Bacterial small subunit ribosomal RNA", at positions 524 to 776 of the family's 1533-position model. The record is from RNAcentral.